UUAGUAGAGUGGCGCACGGGUGAGUAAUGCAUAGGAACGUACCUUUGGGUGGGGGACAACUCCGGGAAACCGGUGCUAAUACCGCAUAAUCUGGCAACAGUAAAGAUGGCCUCUACUUGUAAGCUAUCGCCCAAUGAUCGGCCUAUGUCCCAUUAGUUUGUUGGUGAGGUAAUGGCUCACCAAGACUACGAUGGGUAGCUGGUCUGAGAGGAUGAUCAGCCACACUGGAACUGAGACACGGUCCAGACUCC
This 251-nucleotide ribosomal RNA is filed under the name uncultured bacterium. Its description in RNAcentral is "partial 16S ribosomal RNA". It matches the Rfam family "Bacterial small subunit ribosomal RNA", at positions 87 to 339 of the family's 1533-position model. The record is from RNAcentral.